RNA transcript from Ipomoea triloba (trilobed morning glory), 2724 nucleotides. RefSeq lists it as uncharacterized. The transcript is spliced from 13 exons. The record is from RefSeq and is a predicted model, not a curated record. NCBI's taxonomy places the organism in Eukaryota, Viridiplantae, Streptophyta, Magnoliopsida, Solanales, Convolvulaceae.
UUCCCAAAUUCCCAUUUCCCUCUCUGUCUCUCAUUCUCCCAAUCCCUCCCAGCCGACCCAGCCCUCCUCUGCGACGACGACACGACGCCGGCCUCACUCGUCGCCGUCCGCCUCACUCCUCGCCAUCCACCUCACUCCGGCCUUGCUCGUCGCUGCCGCGUCCUCACUCCGUCUGGUCGCUGGUCGUCUCGACUCAUCGCUGUCUGUCUGGUCGCUGGUCGUCUGUGUCUCAGUCCGGCCUCACUCCAGUCGCUUGUUGCCUCGCCGCCCUCACUCCAAGUGUCGAAAAGGAGGUGAAUAUUGAAUAUACAAGCAACAGGCGGGAGGGGCGUAACAUUGUAGAAGCUGCGCGGUGGCGGUUGGCCGGAAAAGAUGGGGACUACUAAUCCUGAAUUGGAAGCACUGUUCGCGGACAAGAAGCGUGUGAGAAACCCUCUCGUUCCCACCGGAUGGUAGAGUGUUUUCCAGCCGGCUCAUUUGAAGGGCAUUUAAACAUGCUGGAUAUAUGCUGGAUAUAUAUGGUAGAGUGUUUAAACAUGCUGGAUAUAUAUGGAUUCCAGCCGAGUUCCUUGUUGAUUAUUGUCAUGUCUGGAAUUCUCGUCACUCUCAUCAUACCCCUCACCAUUUGCCCUUGAAGGAUUUUCAAUCAUCAAAACAACAGCUUCAAUAGCAUCCUUGAUAUAUACAAAGGUUCUCUGAGAUUGCUAGCAAUGGUGUUCUACCGAAGCGUUUCUCUAUUGUCAAAGUUGCGAUCUCGAGCUGUUCAGCAGACUAACCUUAGCAAUUCGGUGCGCUGGCUCCAAGUUCAGACCUCAUCUGAUCUGGACCUCCGUUCUCAGCUUCAGGAAUUAAUUCCAGAACAACAGAUUUAGGAAACAAACCAAAGCUGCUCUACUAGAAUUCAGGCACAAUGGCGCUGCAAUAAAGCUUAUAUGUAUUAUAAGAAAGCUUCUUAGUAGUGAAUGGCUGCAUUAAAGCUUAUAUGUAUUAUAAGAAAGCUUCUUAGUAGUGAAUGGCGGGAGCUAAAAUAAUGAUAAAUCUCAGACUAUGGUAUUUAGUAUGGUGGGAUUAAGACCUUAGUGAAGAAGCUUGGCACAUAUGAACAGACUGAACUCAACAAUCCAUACAAUCUGACUCCACUAACACCAUCAUUUCAGUGCUCAAGUAAAUCUCUCUUUUGGUUUAAUGCUUUAAUUUGUUCUUUUGAUGCAGAUGAUUACAGAAAUGAAGAGGAUGAGGAUGAUGAAGAGGAGCUUGUUUGGGAAAAAAAGAGGAGCUUGAUGCUAUUAAUGUAUAUUUAGAGUUACAGUGUGCAAAUGAGAGAGUAUCCAAAAAAAGAAAUAUUGUUGUUUUGUUUUGCUCUUUUCUUGAUAUAUACGAAUUCUUGUAGUGCACGGUGGCAUUUUUGUAAUUAUUGAACAUAUGUUACACGUCUUUACUAGUAUAGUAAAGUCGCGUAUUGUAUAUUUAUAUUUUUAUUUAUAAAUUAUACACUUCUUUACAGAAGUGUAAAGAAGUGUAAUAUUGUGUAUUAAAUUAUAAUAUAUUUUUUAGAAGUACUAUAAACUACUAGGAAUGUUAGUCAAGACUUGUAUAUACUUUUAGGUUAAAUUAAAAACCACGUCAUUUGCUUCUUCACCUUGCUGCUUCUCCUUCCUUGGCUCAGCAACUCCUUCAUUUGCUUCUGCUGCUGCUUCUCUUAGUUGAGGUACUUACGUAGCAGCAGUUCCGGCGGCGACGCAGCAGCUCCAGUUCCGGCGACGAGGCAGCAGCUGCGGUUCUGGCGGCGAGGUAGCAUCCGCAGUUCCAGUGGCUAAGCAGUAGCAGCAGCUCCGGCGUGCGAUGUAGAGUUUCGGCGGCGAGGCGGCAGCACCAUCACCUGGUAGAUCUGCAUUUUCACGGUGGCUAAGCAACAGCAGUUCGCGGUGGAGCUUAGUCCUUCCUCUUGCUUCGUUCCGGCGGUGUUCGUAAAAUGUAAUCCGUACGCAUAGCAUAGCAGCAGUAGGCAUGGCUCCUUCUGUACGUAGCAGUGCUUAGGCAGGUAUGCCCAUCAGCUAUGCAAGGACUUUGCAGUCAACUCAAUUGGGUUUUUGUGUUCAACAUAGUUUGCAAAACGCAAUGUUGACUUAAACGAGGAUGCUGUUACAGCAUACAUUGGGAAUAGCAUGGUUACACUGCAGGACAAGACAUUUAUCUUAGCACCAUACCACCAAACGAACCAUUGGUUACUACUCGUGCUUCAUGCAAGUUCAAAAACUGUAUAUGUAUUAGAUCCAAUGAAUUGUAGUCGCAAAAUUGAAGUCAAACAAGCUGUGAAUAUGGCUUUUCGAACCUCUUCAAAUCAACGAGGGUUGAGGACUAUGGGUAAUGCUAAUUGGAAAUAUGUGAAGUGUCCUCAACAACCUGGUAGUGUUGAAUGUGGAUACUACGUUAUGCGGUUUAUAUAUGAUAUAUGCACAAAAUUUAAUGACUACACUUCCUUGGAUGUGGCAUAUCAAGACACAAACGCAUAUUCUAAGGAUGAAAUGGACGAGAUACGGAGGUUAUGGAUAGAAUAUUUUGUGAACGAGUGCAUAUGAAUGUUUAUUAUGUGUUUUUGAUGAAUUUACAUUCUAUAUAUUAUGAUAGAUUUUUGUUGGAUUAUCAUAUUGUAUUGCAAAUUAUGUAAGUUGGAUUAUAUAUAUUAUGUUGUAUUAGUGUUAAGUAAUUUUAUUAUAUUUUGUG